AGAGUUUGAUCCUGGCUCAGGACGAACGCUGGCGGCGUGCCUAACACAUGCAAGUCGAACGGACCUAGCCUUGUAGCAAUACGGGGCGAAAGUUAGUGGCGAACGGGUGAGUAAUGCGUGAGCAACCUGCCUUUCAGAGGGGGACAACAGCUGGAAACGGCUGCUAAUACCGCAUAACGUAUUCGGAUGGCAUCAUCUGAAUACCAAAGGAGCAAUUCGCUGAAAGAUGGGCUCACGUCUGAUUAGCUAGUUGGUGAGGUAACGGCUCACCAAGGCUGCGAUCAGUAGCCGGUCUGAGAGGAUGAACGGCCACAUUGGGACUGAGAUACGGCCCAGACUCCUACGGGAGGCAGCAGUGAGGAAUAUUGGUCAAUGGAGGCAACUCUGAACCAGCCAAGUCGCGUGAAGGAUGAAGGUCUUAUGGAUUGUAAACUUCUUUUGCAAGGGAAUAAAGUGGGGGACGUGUCCUCCUUUGCAUGUACCUUGCGAAUAAGGAUCGGCUAACUCCGUGCCAGCAGCCGCGGUAAUACGUAGGGGGCAAGCGUUAUCCGGAAUUACUGGGUGUAAAGGGAGCGUAGGCGGCAUGGUAAGCCAGAUGUGAAAGCCCGAAGCUUAACUUCGAGGAUUGCAUUUGGAACUAUCAAGCUAGAGUACAGGAGAGGUAAGUGGAAUUCCUAGUGUAGCGGUGAAAUGCGUAGAUAUUAGGAAGAACACCAGUGGCGAAGGCGACUUACUGGACUGAAACUGACGCUGAGGCUCGAAAGCGUGGGGAGCGAACAGGAUUAGAUACCCUGGUAGUCCACGCCGUAAACGAUGAGUGCUAGGUGUCGGAGGGGAACCUUCGGUGCCGCAGCAAACGCAAUAAGCACUCCACCUGGGGAGUACGAUCGCAAGAUUGAAACCAAAGGAAUUGACGG
RNAcentral lists this ribosomal RNA (917 nucleotides) under uncultured bacterium. Its description in RNAcentral is "bacterial SSU rRNA". It matches the Rfam family "Bacterial small subunit ribosomal RNA", at positions 8 to 916 of the family's 1533-position model. The record is from RNAcentral.